Molecule: long non-coding RNA, 430 nt
Organism: Mirounga angustirostris (Northern elephant seal)
Lineage: Eukaryota; Metazoa; Chordata; Mammalia; Carnivora; Phocidae
Exons: 4
Source: RefSeq, a predicted model, not a curated record
AAAAUAGUUAACCAUCAUAUUUUACAAAAAGAAGAACUCUAAUCUGAUGGCAACCCAUAGAAAGCAGCAGCAACAGAACAACGCAAGGGCUACCCUUGUUGGAAUUUCCCCAGUGUCUCUCAGGAGGAUCAUGAACUGCGGCUUUCCUCGUGUGGUUGCUACUUUUAGCAGAUGUUUGCAGGAAAAGAAAACCUUUCGAAAGAGGAAGACUUACCCAUUGGUUCUUUUGACUAAUGGAGGCGUGGGCAGAGGACGGUGAGCUAAGAUAGACACUGUGGAUCUCUGCAUUUGUGUGACAAGCUCUGAGUCACCAAAGUGAGUCACUGGCAAGAUGGGGAAGGCGCUUUCCCCCCAGGCUGAUGUUCUCAAACUAGUACUUUCAGCAUUUGUUUUUACACUAUCUCAAGGUAUCUCCAAGUGUCUCCUGAGA